Molecule: RNA transcript, 2628 nt
Organism: Daucus carota subsp. sativus
Lineage: Eukaryota; Viridiplantae; Streptophyta; Magnoliopsida; Apiales; Apiaceae
Gene name: guanine nucleotide-binding protein subunit beta-1
Exons: 7
Source: RefSeq, a predicted model, not a curated record
GACAACCAGGACAGAAGCCUAACAUUUACUACUUUUUCCUGAGCAGUAUUCACCAGUAGUACAGCUACAAUUUGCUUUGGUACACUUUCACCCAGAACUAUCUCCGUUCACUCCAUAACCAACCCCACAUCAGCACUAAACUGAACCCUAAUUUCACAUUCGUAUUCACUUUAAUCCUCCUCAUUUGAGACGCCAGAGAGCGAGCGAGAGAGAGAGAGGGGGGAGAGAGAGGGAGAGAGAGAGAGAGAGAGAGAGAGGACAUGUCAGUCACUGAACUGAAAGAGCGGCACCUGGAAGCUACAGAAACUGUCAACUCUCUUCAAGAAAAAUUGAAGCAGAAGCGCCUUCUUCUCCUCGAUACCGAUGUUGCCGAGUACGCGAGAUCGCAAGGCAAGACUCCUGUUACAUUUGGACCUACGGAUCUGGUUUGUUGCAGGACUUUGCAAGGUCAUAGCGGAAAGGUAUAUUCAUUAGAUUGGACUCCUGAAAAGAAUCGUAUUGUUAGUGCAUCCCAAGAUGGGAGGUUGAUUGUGUGGAAUUCACUCACAAGCCAGAAAACUCAUGCCAUUAAGCUUCCAUGUGCAUGGGUAAUGACGUGCGCGUUCUCUCCAAGUGGACAGUCUGUUGCUUGUGGUGGCCUUGAUAGUGUGUGCUCCAUCUUUAACUUAAAUACUCCCACCGACAAAGAUGGAAAUGUACCAGUAUCAAAGAUGCUAAGUGGUCAUAAGGGAUAUGUCUCUUCAUGUCAGUACGUUCCAAAUGAAGACACUCACCUAAUAACCAGUUCUGGGGAUCAAACAUGUAUCUUGUGGGAUGUAACUACAGGUCUGAGGACUUCGGUGUUUGGGGGUGAGUUUCAAUCGGGGCACACAGGUGAUGUGCUAAGUGUCUCGAUUAACGGAACAAACUCAAGAACCUUUGUCUCUGGCUCUUGCGAUGCUACUGCACGUCUAUGGGACUCCCGUGUUGCAAGUCGAGCAGUUCGGACCUUUCAUGGCCAUGAGGGAGAUAUCAAUUCCGUCAAGUUUUUUCCAGAUGGAAAUAGAUUCGGAACCGGUUCUGAUGAUGGAUCAUGUAGAUUAUAUGACAUCAGAACUGGGCACCAGCUCCAAGUAUAUAAUCAGCGGCAUGCUGAUAAUGAUAUUCCUCCCGUGACUUCGAUUGCAUUUUCCAUAUCAGGCCGACUUCUUUUUGCAGGCUACGCCAAUGGUGACUGUUAUGUUUGGGAUACUUUAUUGGCAAAGAUGGUGUUGAACCUGGGGUCUCUCCAUAAUUCACAUGAAGGUCGAAUAAGUUGUUUAGGGUUGUCAGCUGAUGGGAGCGCCCUAUGUACAGGGAGUUGGGAUACAAACCUAAAGAUUUGGGCUUUUGGAGGGCACAGAAGAGUGAUAUGAAUUUUUUGUUAGUACUUUGUAUAACAAGUCUCUGGACUCUUUAGGCCCUGAUCCAACCAAUCAGCCCUUCUUGGAUGGAGUACCGUAGUGCUUUACAAGGCGUCAUUCGUGUUCUGCUCUCACCAAGUAGAUGCCUCUGAAACACCGCUAUCCAUUAAAAUUUGCCUACAGCGGGUGCCUGUGACUCUGGAGAAUCAAGGAUUAUACAAUGCCUGUCUGGAAUACCAACCUUGUUAUAUACCACUUAAAUGGCUGUAUUCCUGCCCAGAAGAUCCAUGUCUAUAUGCUUCUACAUAUCCGCACUGUAUGAACUAUCCCCCUCAGACAUGUAAUUUGUUGACGGUGAACUCUGCAUAGUCCCUGCUCCGUCACUCAGGCGUUCGAGUGAUACAUUGCCUUCCAAUGCACGAACCACCUGUUACCAAUGAACGUAAUAAUAGAAUUACUCACGUAACAUAUGCAUCUAGAGCUUAGUAGUUAUAUGAGGCUUUCCUACAACAUACAUUUUGGCUCACAAAGCAACUAUAUAUCAGCCUAGAAUGAAAGAUAAUGAACACACACCUGGCUCAUUUUUGGGCGUCUCCUGGCAGACUGUCUGAUGCAUGCAGCAGAACAGGCUAUCAUGCGUAGCAUCUCAUCAGGAUUAUAGUUGUUCUCCAACCUGGGAUCGACCAGCUCGUCGAAGCUUCCACCCUCUACUGCAUCCAUUAGGAUAGGCCUCGCCUGUAGAUCCAUCAAAAAACAAUACAGGACAGAACUACAGAAGUGUAUAAAGCAUUACACUCUAGUUUCACCAAACUAGAUAAGCUUAACCAUAGAGUGGGAGAUUCAUUGUACAUACCCAGUCGACAAGAGUAUCACCUUCUGAGUUGACAUCGACCGGACGCUUUCCGGAUAUCAGCUCCAAGAGCAUAACACCGAAAGAAUAGACAUCAGAUUUCUCCGUCAGCUUUCCGCUUGAUGCGUACUCAGGUGCUAGAUAUCUGCAUUCUCGUGCAUAUACAUUUUACAUCUUUCAAUUGAAGACACACUUGUUAACAAGAGUUCAAUAGUGUCUCUGUAAGUUCAUAUAUGAAUUACUUGGAAUUACCCAAAUGUUCCCAUUAUACGCGUUGAUACAUGAGUAUAGUUGUCAGAAGAGAGCUUAGCCAAUCCAAAAUCUGCCACCUGUUAAGAAAGGAUUGUGUGUAGAGAUUAAUUAUCAAUGGAAGCACUACAUGAUUGUUGCAUCGUA